UAAGCAACUGUGCGGUUGUGAACGAA
This 26-nucleotide unclassified non-coding RNA is filed under the name Mus musculus (house mouse). RNAcentral describes it as "oocyte_clustered_small_RNA6886". The record is from RNAcentral. Lineage: Eukaryota; Metazoa; Chordata; Mammalia; Rodentia; Muridae.